AAUCCAUAGGUUAAUGAGGCGAACCGGGGGAACUGAAACAUCUAAGUACCCCGAGGAAAAGAAAUCAACCGAGAUUCCCCCAGUAGCGGCGAGCGAACGGGGAGGAGCCCAGAGCCUGAAUCAGCAUGUGUGUUAGUGGAAGCGUCUGGAAAGGCGCGCGAUACAGGGUGACAGCCCCGUACACAAAAGCGCAUGUGCUGUGAGCUCGAUGAGUAGGGCGGGACACGUGGUAUCCUGUCUGAAUAUGGGGGGACCAUCCUCCAAGGCUAAAUACUCCUGACUGACCGAUAGUGAACCAGUACCGUGAGGGAAAGGCGAAAAGAACCCCGGCGAGGGGAGUGAAAAAGAACCUGAAACCGUGUACGUACAAGCAGUGGGAGCACCCUUUGGGUGUGACUGCGUACCUUUUGUAUAAUGGGUCAGCGACUUAUAUUCUGUAGCAAGGUUAACCGAAUAGGGGAGCCGGAGGGAAACCGAGUCUUAAUUGGGCGUUAAGUUGCAGGGUAUAGACCCGAAACCCGGUGAUCUAGCCAUGGGCAGGUUGAAGGUUGGGUAACACUAACUGGAGGACCGAACCGACUAAUGUUGAAAAAUUAGCGGAUGACCUGUGGCUGGGGGUGAAAGGCCAAUCAAACCGGGAGAUAGCUGGUUCUCCCCGAAAGCUAUUUAGGUAGCGCCUCGUGAAUUCAUCUCCGGGGGUAGAGCACUGUUUCGGCUAGGGGGCCAUCCCGGCUUACCAACCCGAUGCAAACUGCGAAUACCGGAGAAUGUUAUCACGGGAGACACACGGCGGGUGCUAACGUCCGUCGUGAAGAGGGAAACAACCCAGACCGCCAGCUAAGGUCCCAAAGUCAUGGUUAAGUGGGAAACGAUGUGGGAAGGCCCAGACAGCCAGGAUGUUGGCUUAGAAGCAGCCAUCAUUUAAAGAAAGCGUAAUAGCUCACUGGUCGAGUCGGCCUGCGCGGAAGAUGUAACGGGGCUAAACCAUGCACCGAAGCUGCGGCAGCGACACUGUGUGUUGUUGGGUAGGGGAGCGUUCUGUAAGCCUGUGAAGGUGU
Molecule: ribosomal RNA, 1058 nt
Filed under: Salmonella enterica subsp. enterica serovar Enteritidis
Lineage: Bacteria; Pseudomonadati; Pseudomonadota; Gammaproteobacteria; Enterobacterales; Enterobacteriaceae
Description: partial 23S ribosomal RNA
Rfam family: Bacterial large subunit ribosomal RNA
Source: RNAcentral